AGAAGAAUUGUGAUCUUUGUGAGCCUUUAUGCAGAAAACUUCAAUGGUUUAAUCAAACUCUCACCUCUUUAAAAAAAGUGUUACUUUUGGAUGGAGAGAUGCCAACAAUAGGUACUUUGAACUUUUAGAUUUUGGCAGACUUUGAAGCUAAAGUUGGUCAUAGCAGAUGCCCUCGACUAGUUCUGCUGGAGUUUUGUUUUGAGUUGAAGAACAAGCUGCUCCAAAUACACCAAUGGUUGCUGCAUGAGCCCCCGUGUUUGGUUUCCCUCAGCCCUUCCAUCACCCCAGAACCCACUUUGAGCUGUGAGAGGAUGUCGGCACUAAUUUGGGCAUCGAUCAGGCUGCCGGCAGCAGUUGACACCCUCACAAAGGCUGUGAACGAGCAAGAUAGGGAGAUGAGCGGUAUGCUAGGUGCGAUUCAACGCAGGCUGCGGUGG
Molecule: long non-coding RNA, 437 nt
Organism: Cyprinodon tularosa
Lineage: Eukaryota; Metazoa; Chordata; Actinopteri; Cyprinodontiformes; Cyprinodontidae
Exons: 4
Source: RefSeq, a predicted model, not a curated record